Molecule: ribosomal RNA, 486 nt
Filed under: Melarhaphe neritoides
Lineage: Eukaryota; Metazoa; Mollusca; Gastropoda; Littorinimorpha; Littorinidae
Description: partial 16S ribosomal RNA
Rfam family: Bacterial large subunit ribosomal RNA
Source: RNAcentral
CGCUCCUUGAUUUUAAUUAAUAAGGAGUCGGACCUGCCCAGUGAUAAGNUAUUUAACGGCCGCGGUACUCUGACCGUGCAAAGGUAGCAUAAUCAUUUGCCCUAUAAUUGAGGGCUAGUAUGAAUGGUUUGACAAGAACAAUACUGUCUCUUUCAAAGNUUUCUAGAAUUUAUUCUUUAGGUGAAGAAACCUAAAUAAAAUUAAAAGACAAGAAGACCCUAUCGAGCUUAAACUCUUUUUAUAAAAUAAAAAAAANUUAAUAAUAUUUUUUGUUAUAAAAAAUUUUGGUUGGGGCGACUAAGGAACAAAAAAAGCUUCUUUAUUUAAUAAAGACAAAUGUGUAUUGAUCCAUAAAANUCUUGAUUAAAAGAAUUAGUUACCGUAGGGAUAACAGCAUAAUCUUUUUUAAGAGUUCUUAUCGAAAAAAAGGUUUGUGACCUCGAUGUUGGACUAAAAUUUCCUAAUAGAUGCAGACGUCUUUAAGGG